AUUUUUAUUUUGACCUAUCAAUUGUUACAAUAUUUUUUGAUCUUUGAUCAUUUUAGAAAAAAAAAAUCACAAAACUUAUAUAAGAAAAGUAAAGUUAAUCUCCAUUUUAAUACAAAACCACUAAUAUCAGCAGUAUUUAGUUAAAAAAUUAAUAAACCAUAUUUUUUUUAAUAUUUAUACAUUAUUAAUUUGAUUAUGGAAUAUGUAUAAAUAACAAUAACUAUUACAAUUUUCGAAUAUAUAAGCACCAAUUCUUGCACAAGUUAACAUCAAUAUUAUACAUAAAAGUAUGUACAAAGCAAAAAGUACCAUUAGUUUCUGUCCCACUAUUGACUGAUAGAGGCUCAGAUAGCAUAAAAGUGAUCAGUCAGAAUACCAAAAUGAUAUUUCCAUCACAUAUUUUAUACAUUGUAUUGUUAUCAGACAAUUUACAAUUUGGUGGGACAGGCUCUAAAUGAUAUAAAUUUAUUUACAUUCUUGAAAUUUGUUACUUUAUAAACCAACCGCAAUGGGCUAGCUUUGACAAUGGCUAGGCCCCUAAAUUAGGGUAGGCCUCAAGUUAUUCUAACCAAUCUGUGUAGAAAAAACUAUAAAAGAGAAAAUUGCAGAUUGUAAACUGUAAGACAUAAAAAAAAUCAAACAAGAAUAUCUCUAACAAUGAGAGUGGUUAUUAGUUGAUGUUAUCUCAUUACCUGUAUGGACAGAAUAUAUAGAAAAUGCACUGAAAGGAUGGCGCUAGUGUGCUAAUUUAGUUUCACUUAUGACCACCGAGACAGUCAUGUCGAUUAUUUUUUUAUAGUAAUCAAUUCCAAUAGUCAUUUCUAAGCCGGUAGAAAUGGUAUUGUGUAUAGAUCGCUUGUUCAAUUUAAUUUGAUCAUAUUUUUUAUGAUUUCUAACUUAUCAAAUCUCAACAAAUAGAGAGACUAUUCAAGUAAUGAAAAUGACUAAACAACACAUUUCCAGUAAAGUCAUAUCUA
Molecule: long non-coding RNA, 977 nt
Organism: Papilio polytes (common Mormon)
Lineage: Eukaryota; Metazoa; Arthropoda; Insecta; Lepidoptera; Papilionidae
Exons: 2
Source: RefSeq, a predicted model, not a curated record